AAAAAGACAAACCGUGAGUUCCCGUGCCAACGUUUGACUGUCCGUCUUAUAUGAAAUUUUUUUAUAAUUAGUAUUUUCAUUGUUGUUAGAUGAUAAAACAUGAUUAAUACUUUAUACUUGACUUAUCUUUUUAAUUUUUUUCAUAAUUUUUUUAAAUAAGACGGACGGUUAAACGUUGAAUACGGAAACCGGGGUAUGUUUUUAGA
Oryza nivara is the source of this 206-nucleotide non-coding RNA. NCBI's taxonomy places the organism in Eukaryota, Viridiplantae, Streptophyta, Magnoliopsida, Poales, Poaceae. The record is from Rfam.